GUCUCCGUGGCUUAGUCGGGUGAAAAGCCCGACUAUGGUAAGGUAGGAUUCGGGUUCGAGCCCCGGUGAAGGCA
This is a non-coding RNA of Henosepilachna vigintioctopunctata, 74 nucleotides long. The record is from the annotation of a GenBank genome assembly. Lineage: Eukaryota; Metazoa; Arthropoda; Insecta; Coleoptera; Coccinellidae.